Molecule: ribosomal RNA, 484 nt
Filed under: Lodderomyces parapsilosis
Lineage: Eukaryota; Fungi; Ascomycota; Pichiomycetes; Serinales; Debaryomycetaceae
Description: eukaryotic LSU rRNA
Rfam family: 5.8S ribosomal RNA (bases 162-315)
Source: RNAcentral
AAGGAUCAUUACAGAAUGAAAAGUGCUUAACUGCAUUUUUUCUUACACAUGUGUUUUUCUUUUUUUGAAAACUUUGCUUUGGUAGGCCUUCUAUAUGGGGCCUGCCAGAGAUUAAACUCAACCAAAUUUUAUUUAAUGUCAACCGAUUAUUUAAUAGUCAAAACUUUCAACAACGGAUCUCUUGGUUCUCGCAUCGAUGAAGAACGCAGCGAAAUGCGAUAAGUAAUAUGAAUUGCAGAUAUUCGUGAAUCAUCGAAUCUUUGAACGCACAUUGCGCCCUUUGGUAUUCCAAAGGGCAUGCCUGUUUGAGCGUCAUUUCUCCCUCAAACCCUCGGGUUUGGUGUUGAGCGAUACGCUGGGUUUGCUUGAAAGAAAGGCGGAGUAUAAACUAAUGGAUAGGUUUUUUCCACUCAUUGGUACAAACUCCAAAACUUCUUCCAAAUUCGACCUCAAAUCAGGUAGGACUACCCGCUGAACUUAAGCA